GGCGCCUUGGCGGAGUGGUUACGCAGCGGCCUGCAAAGCCGUGUACGCCGGUUCGACUCCGGCAGGCGCCU
Molecule: transfer RNA, 71 nt
Filed under: Solirubrobacterales bacterium
Lineage: Bacteria; Bacillati; Actinomycetota; Thermoleophilia; Solirubrobacterales
Also listed under: 2 other names
Description: tRNA-Cys
Rfam family: tRNA
About the family: Transfer RNA (tRNA) molecules are approximately 80 nucleotides in length. Their secondary structure includes four short double-helical elements and three loops (D, anti-codon, and T loops).
Source: RNAcentral